This 253-nucleotide ribosomal RNA is filed under the name uncultured bacterium. RNAcentral's name for it is "partial 16S ribosomal RNA". It matches the Rfam family "Bacterial small subunit ribosomal RNA", at positions 524 to 776 of the family's 1533-position model. The record is from RNAcentral.
UACGUAGGGUGCGAGCGUUGUCCGGAAUUAUUGGGCGUAAAGGGCUCGUAGGCGGUUUGUCGCGUCGGGAGUGAAAACCCAGGGCUUAACCCUGGGCUGGCUUCCGAUACGGGCAGACUAGAGGUAUGCAGGGGAGAACGGAAUUCCUGGUGUAGCGGUGAAAUGCGCAGAUAUCUGGAGGAAUACCGGUGGCGAAGGCGGCAUCCUGGACCGGAAUUGACACUGAGGAGCGAAAGCCAGGGGAGCAAACGGG